CCCUUAGAUGUUCUGGGCCGCACGCGCGCUACACUGACGAAUGCAACGAGCUUAUAACCUUGUCCGAAAGGUCUGGGUAAUCUCCAAAUUUCGUCGUGAUGGGGAUAGAUUAUUGCAAUUAUUAAUCUUCAACGAGGAAUGCCUAGUAAGCGCAAGUCAUCAGCUUGCGUUGAUUACGUCCCUGCCCUUUGUACACACCGCCCGUCGCUCCUACCGAUUGAAUGGUCCGGUGAAGCGUUCGGACCGUGGCCUUUGGACGGUUCGCCGUCUGUUGGCUGCGGGAAGUUCGUUAAACCUUAUCAUUUAGAGGAAGGAGAANUCGUANCA
RNAcentral lists this ribosomal RNA (327 nucleotides) under uncultured eukaryote. RNAcentral describes it as "partial 18S ribosomal RNA". It matches the Rfam family "Eukaryotic small subunit ribosomal RNA", at positions 1470 to 1796 of the family's 1831-position model. The record is from RNAcentral.